ACGAAUAAUUUAUCUAUUUUUUCUUUUGUUGCUCAUGCUUUUGGUGUAAUAUCUAAGAAUCCAUUGCCAAAUCCAAGCUCAUAAAGAUUUACCCCUUUGUCUUCUUAUAAGAAUUUUAUGGCUUUAGCUUUUAUAUUUAGGUCAUUGAGCCAUUUUAAUUUUUAUAUAUGGUGGUAGAAGUCCAAGUUAACUUUUUGCAUAUGAAUAUCCAGGUGUUCCAGCACUAUGUCUAUCCUUAUGUCAGUAUCACACUGUUUUUAUUACUGUAGUUUUAUAGUAAGUUUUGAAACCAGAAACCGUGAGCCCUUCAAAUUUGUUCUUUUUUUUUUUAGAUUGUUUUGGUGCUUCAGGAUUCAUUGAAGUUUCAUAAGAAUUUGAAGAUCUGGUUUUUCAUUUCUGUAAAUAAGACUGUUGGAAUUUUGACAGGAAUUGCGUUGGAUUCAUAGACCACCUUGAAGAGUACAGUCAUCCCUUGGUAUCUGUGGGGGAUUGGUUGCAAGACCUCCCCUAGAUACCAAAAUCCGCAGGUGCUCAAGUCCCUUACAUAAAGUGGCCAAGUAUAUAGUCCACCUCCGUAUCCAUGGAUGUGGAAGCUGUGGAUAGGGAGGGCCGACUGUAUUGCCAUCCUAACAAAAAUUAAGUCCUCAAAUCCGUCAACAGAAGAUGUUUUCUCAUUUGCGUCUUUUAUAAUUUCUUUCAGCAAUGCUUUGUAGUUUCCAUGUGCAAGUCUUUCGCGUCCUUGAGUAAAUUGAUUCCUAGAUCUGUAACCAGGCAGGACUUGGUGGGGCCUUCCUGGGACAGACCCCUCCCCCAUAUUCUCUGCUGCGACUCCUCUGUGAAGUACCCAGAUAAUAGUAUCUGAUGCAUAUUUCCUGAGUUUUUCAGCUCCUAAAAACCACCAACACAUGGAAGAAGUUAACAACUUGACGAUUAUGGGCACGUAGCCCCCAGACCUUCCAGUGCCUUCCUGAUCACCAUCAACCAAUCAGAGAAUUGUGCACAGCUGAUCACAAACCCUGGGACGCCCCUCCCUCAGCUAGCCUUUAAACAUGCUCAGCUGAAACCAUUCAGGGAGUUUGGGGGCGUGGUUGGGUUUGAGCCACUUUUCUCCUGGCUGGGCCUGCAGUAAGCCUGUCUGUGCUCCAAACGCCCACGUUUCAGUUUGUUUGGUCUCCCUGCGUGUGGAGCACACGAACUUGUGUUCAGUAACAAUUUUGGCCAAGCCAGCCAGGAGUCUGUCCCAUGAUGGGUCAGCCCCACCUGGGGCAGCCCUUCCCUGGGCCCCCAGCAGCUGCUGGACCUCACUUUGCUCCAGGGAACCGGGCACCUGACCGGCACCAGCCGCCGCCCCACGGCAUGAGGCUGUUUGGAGCCCAGAAACGUUCAGAGCUGAGGUCCGCAUUCAGUGUCGCUUGGGGGCACGUUGGAAGAUUGCGUUUUCCUUCUCCUUGAAGUUAGACACAGCUACAUGGCUGUUGAGCCAAUAAAACGGGAGCAUAAGUGAACUAUGACUCUUCCAACGCCAGUGCUCUUCUCUCCAGACCUUCCUGCCCAGACUUCGACCAGUUCAGUCACAGGAGCUCAUGUCCACGUGGAGGUGAGGUAGGAGUGGGAGCAGCCUGGUAGGCUGAGCAAACACACGGUGGGACACUGUGUGGAGAGGUGCCUGGAGCCCAGCAGAUUUGUGCAGUCACUUCUGUUCCUGCUGGUGGCAAUGGAGAGAGAGACUCAUGCAGCUUUCCUUCAACUUCCUUGGCUGCUGAGCAGACAUGUGACAGUUCUGGCCAAUCAAAUGUACCCACGAGGGGUUUUCCGCUUGCAGCGUGGGAUCCGGAGAACCGAGGGCGCGUCCUUUGUGCUCACGGUGGAAUCCUCAUCAGGCUCGUUCUCAGAAAAUCUUAAAAAGGAACAACACUGUGUUCAUCUGGGAUGCACUGAGGAGAGCUGGAGACGGAUGUUCUGGGCAGCAUCUAGAUUUGGCUUAGAGGGACAUCCUCAAGGACCCACAGGAGGAGAGAGAAGAAAGCUGACUCAAGGACAUGGGAUCACGGCCAUGAGAAGCAUGUAUGGGACUGCCUAGAAAGAAAACUACACACCAAUAUCCCUUUUGAACACUGAUGCAAACAUCUCCACCAAAAUACUAGCAAACUGAAUUUAGUAGCAUAUUAAAAGGAUUAUACACUAGGGCAAAGUGGGAUUGAUUCCCAGUGUGCAAAGUUGGUUCACAUACAAAAUCCAUCAAUGUAAUACACUACAUUAGCAGAAUGAAGGGAAAAACCCAUAUGAUGCAGAAAACGCAUAUGACAAAAUUUAAUACCCUUUCAUGACAAAGAAAAAUACUCAACAAACUAGGAAUAGAAGGAAACUACCUCAACAUAAUAAAAAACCACACAUGAAAAACCCACAGGGAACAUCACACUCAGUGGUGGAAGACUGAAACCUUCCACUAACGUCAAGAACAAGGCAGAGAUGUCCAUUUUCACAACUCCUGUUUGACAUUACUGGAAAUUUUAGCCAGAGCAGUUAGGCAAGAAACAGAAGUAAAAGCUACUUAAAUCACAGAGAAGAUGGAAAACUCUCUCUGUUAACGGAGGAUAGAGUCGGAUAAAGAAAAUCCUAAGGAAUACAGUCAAAUACUGUUAUGGCUAGUAAAUGAAGUCAGCAAGGUAGCAGAAUACAAAAUUAAAGACCGAAAUCAGUUGUAUUGCAGAGGGGGGUUAGAAUGCCCAGGGGUAGAAUGCAUGCUUAGCACGCAGGAGGUCCUAGGUGCAAUCCCCACUUCCUCCAUUAGGAAAAAAAAUCAGUUGCAUUCCUAUACACUAACAAUGAACAAUCCUAAAUGAAAACUACCCCUCAAAUCCAUUUACAAUAGCAUUAAAAUAAAAUACUUAGGAACAAACUUAACCAAGAAACUGAAAGACUUGCACAAUGCAAACUAUAAAACAUUGCUGGGAAUAAUUAAAGAAAGCAUAAAUAGAAACAUAUUCCAUGUUCAUGGAAUGAAAGACUUAAAGAUAUAAUCUGUAGAUUCAGUGCAAUCCCUAUCAAAAUCCUGAUGCCCAUUUUUUUUUGCAGCAAUAGAAGUCUAUCCUAAAAUUCAUAUGGAACUCAAGGAACCCUGAAUAGCCCAGACAAUCCUGAAAAAAAA
This is a non-coding RNA of Vicugna pacos (alpaca), 3148 nucleotides long. The record is from RefSeq and is a predicted model, not a curated record. NCBI's taxonomy places the organism in Eukaryota, Metazoa, Chordata, Mammalia, Artiodactyla, Camelidae.